GUAAGUUCUUCAGGAACAAAAUUAAUUUUUCUAAGUUCUUCGGGAACUAAGAUUAUGAAUUCUUCGGGAAUUCAUGUAUUAAAUGUCUAAGUUCUUCAGGAACUAAGAAUAGGUUCUUUAGGAACCAAGAUUAUGAAUUCUUCGGGAAUUCAUGUAUUAACUUUCUAGGUUUUUCAUGAACCAAGAUUAUGAAUUCUUAAACAUGUUUAUGUUCUUUUGGAUGAUCGAAGUGUCGAUGUUUCACCAUACAGGUGUCGGUCACGAAGCAUAAUGAUGCUUCACCA
This 284-nucleotide long non-coding RNA is filed under the name Trifolium pratense (red clover). RNAcentral's name for it is "long non-coding RNA (TPRA_LNC011699)". Lineage: Eukaryota; Viridiplantae; Streptophyta; Magnoliopsida; Fabales; Fabaceae. The record is from RNAcentral.